AGAUUGAACGCUGGCGGCAGGCCUAACACAUGCAAGUCGAGCGGCAGCACGGGUAGUUGUACCUGGUGGCGAGCGGCGGACGGGUGAGUAAUGCCUAGGAAUCUGCCUGGUAGUGGGGGAUAACGCUCGGAAACGGACGCUAAUACCGCAUACGUCCUACGGGAGAAAGCAGGGGACCUUCGGGCCUUGCGCUAUCAGAUGAGCCUAGGUCGGAUUAGCUAGUUGGUGAGGUAAUGGCUCACCAAGGCGACGAUCCGUAACUGGUCUGAGAGGAUGAUCAGUCACACUGGAACUGAGACACGGUCCAGACUCCUACGGGAGCAGCAGUGGGAAUAUUGGACAAUGGGCGAAAGCCUAGAUCCAGCCAUGCCGCGUGUGUGAAGAAGGUCUUCGGAUUGAAAGCACUUUAAGUUGGAGGAAGGCAGUUACCUAAUACGUAUCUGUUUGACGUUACGACAGAAUAAGCACCGGCUAACUCUGU
This 481-nucleotide ribosomal RNA is filed under the name uncultured soil bacterium. Its description in RNAcentral is "bacterial SSU rRNA". It matches the Rfam family "Bacterial small subunit ribosomal RNA", at positions 26 to 506 of the family's 1533-position model. The record is from RNAcentral.